UACUCGGGAGGCUGAGGCAGGAGAAUGACGUGAACCCAGGAGGCCAAGCUUGCAGUGAGCUGAGAUCACACCACUGCACUCCAGCCUGGGGGACAGAGUGAGAAUCCAUCAAAAAAAAGAAACAAGAAUACAAUAGCACAAUUCAUGUGACAACCACAUGUAGGUUUAGUGAUGUUUGUUCUCUGUGAAGCUAAGCUAUCUCAGCUAGGUGGUUGAGGACAUUUGUACUGUCUGGACUAGGCAGAGGUGAAUAUGAUUGAAUGUGUAAGACAGUGCCAAUUAUGUACCAUAUAUAGCUGUGUGUGUUUCCUUCUGUCUAAAAUAUCAACCUAUGCUUGCCUUUAAUCUCAUCCUCAAUUGCAAUGCUCAAAACCCCUCCUAGUGUCAUUAUAUUGUCAAAAAAUACUCUGAAUCACAGGUUUAGAGAGAUAAAAAUUCUAACUUCUCUUAAAGAAACAACGUCUGAAAAUCUUUUCAUUUGUGUUGUUCCACAUGAAAUGACUUUAAGUGUUGAAUGUGCACAUUAUUCCUACAUUCUGAGACUUAGAUUUAUAGCUUAUGAGUUGUCCUUCUAAAGGUAUACUCUUCAUAUGCCAGUGACUCCCCAGCUUAUACAGCAGUUAUGCCUUAUUGGUGAGGGAUGCGUUCAAAGACUCCUUGUGGAUGCCUGAAACCUGUUACCAAACCCCAUAUAUCUCUAGUGCACAUCUAAAUCUGUGUUUAGACGAACAGAACCAGCUUUGUACCCGAUUAUCUUCACCAAGAUGUCUGACUUACGUAAAUCUCAAACUUGUCGUAUUUAACACAAAGUUCUUAAUUUCCUUCCUUUUUCAAGCCCACUUCUGCUGUGUUUUCUGUUUAAGUAAAUAACACUCAUCCAUUUAGUUAUGUCAAAAACCUAGGAAUUAUCCAUGACUUCUCUCUUACUCUUUCUGCACUUUAAAUGCAUCAGCUAGUACUGUCUUCAAGAAUGUAUCCUUUUUACCCAGUCCUCGCCAUCUCCUUUACUAUCCCCCUUGCCCAAGCCACUAUACUUUCAUCCUGCUGUGGAAGCAGUUUUCCAACCCUCCUUACUCUCCUUUUGACCACUUAAUAUACAUUCUUCACUAGCCAGAACAAUCUUUGAAAAAUGUAACCUACCAUAUGUCACUCCCCAUUUGAAAUGUUCCUAUUGGGAUUUUAAGAUGAUAUUAAAUACUCAUUUUCUCAGCUCUCAAGUCUGGAUUCAAUUGAGAGGCAGACAGAUUUGGGCAAAUGAGAUAAAAUAUUUGUUUUGUAUUGAUAAAUGGUUGGAUUGGCAGAUAUUGCCUUGUAUUGAGUAUGGUCGUAAAGACAUCACUAAUAUUUAACUUAUCUACCUAUUUAUUUUCCCUCACUUUGAAGUGUGGUUAGAAUUUGGAGGAAGCAAUUUCAUGAAGGUAGAAAUAAGAUUGCCCUCAUAAAAUAUGUUAUGUCCUCAUAAAAUAAAUAUUUAUAUAUUAUAUAUAAAAUAUAUAAAUUUAUUAUCUGAUCCUUCCCAAGAGAGAUUCCGCACCUCUGGUUGCCCUUAGGCUUAAUCAUUAAGCCAGAACCAUAAAGAGAACAAAAAACAUUACCUGUGCCCAACGUUUUAUGGCCUUUGUCACUCCUCAAGUAGUCUCUCCAAAGGAGGAAUGUCUGACGUGGUAAGUAAGUUUGAGAGGAAACUGGAUUUUGUUGGAUCCACCCCUUCUGAAGUCUCUUGUUGUCUUCCUCCCUCAAGAGAUGUCUGCCCUAUUUUCCACUUGUUUGGAAACUAUCUCCCCUGUCUGGUGUCCUUGCAGCUGUGCAUCUGUCAGUCUGUGCUGGUCUCACAUCGAGGUCACGCUGAUGAAAAAGGAACUACAGUACUGUUAUGUCAGUAACAUACAUCACAGUCGUACGUCUCCAGGCUUCUUAUCUUCCUUUGAACCUGACCUGGCUACUGUUUGGUGGAUUAUAGAGGAAAAGCUGUAAUGGGAAAGUAGGUUGGGUGAAGGGAUGAGAAAAAGGAAAGCAUCGUGGAGCACAUUAGCAGGCUUUCUCCAUGAAGAAGCAGGAUGAGUACCUUCUCACUGCCAAAGUAGUUGGAGGGACAUCAAACACCAGUGAUGGGAACACUGAACCUCACAUAAGAAGCACAUGAAGAACAGCAGUGAAACCAAGGAUUCUAGCAAGGCCAGCUAUUAGCAAAGCAGUAAGCAGGAACUGGACUAGAUACCAAAUGAUGGGGAAACAGACUCAUAGACCUAAGAACAUAGGAAGAAGAGAUGUAACAUCAACAGAAAGGCAAAAGGGGCAAUGCAGCAUCUCUGCCUUCUUCUGGGUAUUCCUCUUAAAUGGCUUGACAAUAACCACCAACCAGCACUGCCAUACAUGUGUCCUGUACCUAUCAGAGGCACUAGGGCAGUUUUGGAACAGAGAGCCCAUAGAAAGGCUACUGCUUAGAGAUAGCCAUUUUCUUCUUGGAGCUGGACCAGUGAAUUAGACGCAUGGAGGAGAGCUGGAAAAUCCCUUUUUGGAAGAGCUACACAAAACCAAAAUUUGGAAUUCGUAGCUAAUAACCAUAAAAAUUAAGAAAUGACUGUUGGAAGAGCACUGGAAAUCACCUGAUUAAGUUAAGAAAAACUAACUAGCUCAUGAGAAAAUUAUUUUCAGGCCAGCUGUAGCCUGUACCCUUUUGAAAAUCCCCUGACUAGUGAGUUCAUUUUUGUUGGAAUAUAGAAUUUUUCUUUUCUAAGCAGAUGUAAACUUGUCUUUCUGUGGUUGGCUUUGGAGCCCACAAGAUAAUUAAAUGGCAGUGCUAACUGAAAGCCUGGGCUGUGCUUAUAGGUUCAAGAGGCAGGUAGAAGACACUGGGUUGGGGAAGUAGGGCUAUGGAACUGUGGCUCUGGCUAAGAUUACUAAUGUCUGUGAGCGCUGGAAGAAGGGAAAUAGAAAUGAAAAAACAUGAAUAUGGUUGAUGGGCCAGACUGAGUGUUGAGGUCCUAUGAUGUAUCAAAGAAUGGCUUACAUGAAAGUUAUAAGGUGUGGAUGGAAAAGGUCAGUGUGGAAGAGAACAGAAUUACUAGCUUUAAAGCUCAGAGACAUCUGCUUUUCAGGAAAAAAAAAUACAAAAGUCUAUGAGUGAAGGAAGGAGACUAAGAGAAAGAAAGGUGAGGAAAAGAGGAAGAGAAUAAAAAGGAACAGAAAUGAGAAAAAUAUGACACAAGAAAAAAAGAAAAAUUAGGAGGAAGGAAAGAAGAAAGGAAGGCAGAGAGGGAGGAAAGGAAGGAAGGAGACAGGGAGGAGAAACAGAAAAAGAGAGAAUGAAAGAAGUGGAAAUCAAGAAAGAAACAACAUAAGAUUCUACAGAGAGGACUCAUUAUAGGCAAAAUAAGUAAAAGAAAUUUCUUUUGGCAUUGUCCUAUCUCCCUUGCAUUCUCAUCUACUAAGCCUUUUCUUCCCUGUGGGCAAUAUUAUUGGCAUGAGUAAACUCUCACCUUAAUAUUCCUAAUAACCAUAAGUUUGUCCUCUACUCCCUAAAACUACUGCCGUGUGUGCCAUGCUCCAAAGUAAUCUCUUAUUCUCACUUCGUAACCUUUCAUCUCAGCUGUGUGUCAGUUAAGAAGAAUUUCAUCAAACUAAGCCUCUUGGAUUUUAAAAGAAUGCUCUUGCCCAGUUAUAUCUUUAGUUGGCAUCAUUUCAGGUAUGAAAAGGCUCUGCUCUAUGUGCCCUUAUCAAUCCUGAAAGAGCUAUCUCCCCAAGCAAAAUGAGAAGGACAAUCAUAACUGGCUCAAGGCUAGUCCAAUCUGGCUCUGUCCUUAGAUCCAAAAAGUUGAAGUUGUAAGUGACCCUAGAAAUGAUCUAUUUCACACUUAUUGUCCAGACAAUGAAACUCCAGUGGAGAGUGGAUAGGACCCUUCUAGGGUCGCAUGAUUGCUAGUGGCAAAGCCAGGUCUGAAUCAUAUCACUGCUUAUGGAGAACUUGUUGCCCUCACCAUUGUCCUCAAAUUUCUCCUGUUGACAGCAGGAUCCCUCAGAGAAAAGAUAGCUCCAGCCAAAGAACUCAGUGUAGCCCCAUGAACUCUCCAAAUAAUCAUAAACACAGCUAUAGUAGACAAGAAAGGCUAUCUUCUCAUGACCCUUUCUGUGGUUAAAAUCCUGAAAAACUGGGCACUACGGCUAUAUUCCAAACAUUCUUGCAAAUAGUAUUUCCAGACACAGACAAUGAUUCUCAGAGAUUCUCACCAUAGACGGUGAGGCAGGCCGUUCCUGAGAUCUUCCCAAAACCAAAGGUAUUGAAGAGACACAUGUAAC
RNAcentral lists this long non-coding RNA (4296 nucleotides) under Homo sapiens (human). RNAcentral's name for it is "HSALNT0058736". Lineage: Eukaryota; Metazoa; Chordata; Mammalia; Primates; Hominidae. The record is from RNAcentral.